UGAGGCGGUUAAAGAUGGGCAUGCGUAACAUUAGCUAGUUGGUAAGGUAACGGCUUACCAAGGCGAUGAUGUUUAGGGGUUCUGAGAGGACAAUCCCCCACACUGGUACUGAGACACGGACCAGACUCCUACGGGAGGCAGCAGUGAGGAAUAUUGGGCAAUGGACGCAAGUCUGACCCAGCCAUGCCGCGUGCAGGAAGACGGCCCUAUGGGUUGUAAACUGCUUUUUUAAGGGGAUAAACCCUCCGACGUGUUGGAGGCUGAAGGUACCUUAAGAAUAAGCAUCGGCUAACUCCGUGCCAGCAGCCGCGGUAAUACGGAGGAUGCAAGCGUUAUCCGGAUUUAUUGGGUUUAAAGGGUGCGCAGGCGGCCUUAUAAGUCAGUGGUGAAAUCUUACGGCUCAACCGGAAAACUGCCAUUGAUACUGUAGGGCUAGAGUACAGACGAGGUAGGCGGAAUGUAGCAUGUAGCGGUGAAAUGCUUAGAUAUGCUACAGAACACCGAUCGCGAAGGCAGCUUACCAGACUGUAACUGACGCUAAUGCACGAAAGCGUGGGGAGCAAACAGGAUUAGAUACCCUGGUAGUCCACGCUGUAAACGAUGAUCACUCGAUGUUGGCGAUAUACAGUCAGCGUCCAAGCGAAAGUAUUAAGUGAUCCACCUGGGGAGUACGAUCGCAAGGUUGAAACUCAAAGGAAUUGACGGGGGCCCGCACAAGCGGAGGAGCAUGUGGUUUAAUUCGAUGAUACGCGAGGAACCUUACCUAGACUUAAAUGUAGAUUGCAUAGAGUAGAAAUACUUUUUUCCUUCGGGACUAUUUACAAGGUGCUGCAUGGUUGUCGUCAGCUCGUGCCGUGAGGUGUCGGGUUAAGUCCCAUAACGAGCGCAACCCCUACCCUUAGUUGCCAGCGGAUAAAGCCGGGGACUCUAGGGGAACUGCCAGCGUAAGCUGAGAGGAAGGUGGGGAUGACGUCAAAUCAGCACGGCCCUUACGUCUAGGGCUACACACGUGCUACAAUGGCCGGUACAGAGGGCAGCCACCUGGUGACAGGGAGCGAAUCUCCAAAGCCGGUCUCAGUUCGGAUCGAAGUCUGCAACUCGACUUCGUGAAGUUGGAUUCGCUAGUAAUCGUAUAUCAGCCAUGAUACGGUGAAUACGUUCCCGGGCCUUGUACACACCGCCCGU
This 1185-nucleotide ribosomal RNA is filed under the name uncultured prokaryote. Its description in RNAcentral is "bacterial SSU rRNA". It matches the Rfam family "Bacterial small subunit ribosomal RNA", at positions 211 to 1397 of the family's 1533-position model. The record is from RNAcentral.